ACCUGGCUGGCUCAGUCAGUAGAGCAUGUGACCCUUGAUCUCGGGGUUGUGAGUUCGAGCCCCAUGUUGGGUC
Molecule: transfer RNA, 73 nt
Filed under: Ailuropoda melanoleuca (giant panda)
Lineage: Eukaryota; Metazoa; Chordata; Mammalia; Carnivora; Ursidae
Rfam family: tRNA
About the family: Transfer RNA (tRNA) molecules are approximately 80 nucleotides in length. Their secondary structure includes four short double-helical elements and three loops (D, anti-codon, and T loops). Further hydrogen bonds mediate the characteristic L-shaped molecular structure. tRNAs have two regions of fundamental functional importance: the anti-codon, which is responsible for specific mRNA codon recognition, and the 3' end, to which the tRNAs corresponding amino acid is attached (by aminoacyl-tRNA synthetases). tRNAs cope with the degeneracy of the genetic code in two manners: having more than one tRNA (with a specific anti-codon) for a particular amino acid; and 'wobble' base-pairing, i.e. permitting non-standard base-pairing at the 3rd anti-codon position.
Source: Rfam by way of RNAcentral